Molecule: ribosomal RNA, 2901 nt
Filed under: Escherichia coli
Lineage: Bacteria; Pseudomonadati; Pseudomonadota; Gammaproteobacteria; Enterobacterales; Enterobacteriaceae
Description: bacterial LSU rRNA
Rfam family: Bacterial large subunit ribosomal RNA
Source: RNAcentral
UUAAGCGACUAAGCGUACACGGUGGAUGCCCUGGCAGUCAGAGGCGAUGAAGGACGUGCUAAUCUGCGAUAAGCGUCGGUAAGGUGAUAUGAACCGUUAUAACCGGCGAUUUCCGAAUGGGGAAACCCAGUGUGUUUCGACACACUAUCAUUAACUGAAUCCAUAGGUUAAUGAGGCGAACCGGGGGAACUGAAACAUCUAAGUACCCCGAGGAAAAGAAAUCAACCGAGAUUCCCCCAGUAGCGGCGAGCGAACGGGGAGCAGCCCAGAGCCUGAAUCAGUGUGUGUGUUAGUGGAAGCGUCUGGAAAGGCGCGCGAUACAGGGUGACAGCCCCGUACACAAAAAUGCACAUAUUGUGAGCUCGAUGAGUAGGGCGGGACACGUGGUAUCCUGUCUGAAUAUGGGGGGACCAUCCUCCAAGGCUAAAUACUCCUGACUGACCGAUAGUGAACCAGUACCGUGAGGGAAAGGCGAAAAGAACCCCGGCGAGGGGAGUGAAAAAGAACCUGAAACCGUGUACGUACAAGCAGUGGGAGCCUCUUUUAUGGGGUGACUGCGUACCUUUUGUAUAAUGGGUCAGCGACUUAUAUUCUGUAGCAAGGUUAACCGAAUAGGGGAGCCGAAGGGAAACCGAGUCUUAACUGGGCGUUAAGUUGCAGGGUAUAGACCCGAAACCCGGUGAUCUAGCCAUGGGCAGGUUGAAGGUUGGGUAACACUAACUGGAGGACCGAACCGACUAAUGUUGAAAAAUUAGCGGAUGACUUGUGGCUGGGGGUGAAAGGCCAAUCAAACCGGGAGAUAGCUGGUUCUCCCCGAAAGCUAUUUAGGUAGCGCCUCGUGAAUUCAUCUCCGGGGGUAGAGCACUGUUUCGGCAAGGGGGUCAUCCCGACUUACCAACCCGAUGCAAACUGCGAAUACCGGAGAAUGUUAUCACGGGAGACACACGGCGGGUGCUAACGUCCGUCGUGAAGAGGGAAACAACCCAGACCGCCAGCUAAGGUCCCAAAGUCAUGGUUAAGUGGGAAACGAUGUGGGAAGGCCCAGACAGCCAGGAUGUUGGCUUAGAAGCAGCCAUCAUUUAAAGAAAGCGUAAUAGCUCACUGGUCGAGUCGGCCUGCGCGGAAGAUGUAACGGGGCUAAACCAUGCACCGAAGCUGCGGCAGCGACACUAUGUGUUGUUGGGUAGGGGAGCGUUCUGUAAGCCUGUGAAGGUGUGCUGUGAGGCAUGCUGGAGGUAUCAGAAGUGCGAAUGCUGACAUAAGUAACGAUAAAGCGGGUGAAAAGCCCGCUCGCCGGAAGACCAAGGGUUCCUGUCCAACGUUAAUCGGGGCAGGGUGAGUCGACCCCUAAGGCGAGGCCGAAAGGCGUAGUCGAUGGGAAACAGGUUAAUAUUCCUGUACUUGGUGUUACUGCGAAGGGGGGACGGAGAAGGCUAUGUUGGCCGGGCGACGGUUGUCCCGGUUUAAGCGUGUAGGCUGGUUUUCCAGGCAAAUCCGGAAAAUCAAGGCUGAGGCGUGAUGACGAGGCACUACGGUGCUGAAGCAACAAAUGCCCUGCUUCCAGGAAAAGCCUCUAAGCAUCAGGUAACAUCAAAUCGUACCCCAAACCGACACAGGUGGUCAGGUAGAGAAUACCAAGGCGCUUGAGAGAACUCGGGUGAAGGAACUAGGCAAAAUGGUGCCGUAACUUCGGGAGAAGGCACGCUGAUAUGUAGGUGAAGUCCCUCGCGGAUGGAGCUGAAAUCAGUCGAAGAUACCAGCUGGCUGCAACUGUUUAUUAAAAACACAGCACUGUGCAAACACGAAAGUGGACGUAUACGGUGUGACGCCUGCCCGGUGCCGGAAGGUUAAUUGAUGGGGUCAGCGCAAGCGAAGCUCUUGAUCGAAGCCCCGGUAAACGGCGGCCGUAACUAUAACGGUCCUAAGGUAGCGAAAUUCCUUGUCGGGUAAGUUCCGACCUGCACGAAUGGCGUAAUGAUGGCCAGGCUGUCUCCACCCGAGACUCAGUGAAAUUGAACUCGCUGUGAAGAUGCAGUGUACCCGCGGCAAGACGGAAAGACCCCGUGAACCUUUACUAUAGCUUGACACUGAACAUUGAGCCUUGAUGUGUAGGAUAGGUGGGAGGCUUUGAAGUGUGGACGCCAGUCUGCAUGGAGCCGACCUUGAAAUACCACCCUUUAAUGUUUGAUGUUCUAACGUUGACCCGUGAUCCGGGUUGCGGACAGUGUCUGGUGGGUAGUUUGACUGGGGCGGUCUCCUCCUAAAGAGUAACGGAGGAGCACGAAGGUUGGCUAAUCCUGGUCGGACAUCAGGAGGUUAGUGCAAUGGCAUAAGCCAGCUUGACUGCGAGCGUGACGGCGCGAGCAGGUGCGAAAGCAGGUCAUAGUGAUCCGGUGGUUCUGAAUGGAAGGGCCAUCGCUCAACGGAUAAAAGGUACUCCGGGGAUAACAGGCUGAUACCGCCCAAGAGUUCAUAUCGACGGCGGUGUUUGGCACCUCGAUGUCGGCUCAUCACAUCCUGGGGCUGAAGUAGGUCCCAAGGGUAUGGCUGUUCGCCAUUUAAAGUGGUACGCGAGCUGGGUUUAGAACGUCGUGAGACAGUUCGGUCCCUAUCUGCCGUGGGCGCUGGAGAACUGAGGGGGGCUGCUCCUAGUACGAGAGGACCGGAGUGGACGCAUCACUGGUGUUCGGGUUGUCAUGCCAAUGGCACUGCCCGGUAGCUAAAUGCGGAAGAGAUAAGUGCUGAAAGCAUCUAAGCACGAAACUUGCCCCGAGAUGAGUUCUCCCUGACCCUUUAAGGGUCCUGAAGGAACGUUGAAGACGACGACGUUGAUAGGCCGGGUGUGUAAGCGCAGCGAUGCGUUGAGCUAACCGGUACUAAUGAACCGUGAGGCUUAACCUU